AGAGUUUGAUCAUGGCUCAGAACGAACGUUGGCGGUGUGGAUUAGGCAUGCAAGUCGCGCGCGAAAGUCUUCGGACGAGUAAAGCGGCGGACGGGCGAGUAAUGCGUAAUCAACCUGCCCCCGAGACUGGAAUAGCCACUGGAAACGGUGGGUAAUGCCAGAUGGCCCCCCGGAUCGGCAUCGAUCCGUGGGUAAACGGUGGCGCAAGCUGCUGCUCGGGGAGGGGAUUACGUCCUAUCAGCUAGUUGGUGGGGUAAUGGCUCGCCAAGGCGAUGACGGGUAGCUGGUCUGAGAGGACGACCAGCCGCACUGGGACUGAGAUACUGCCCAGACUCCUACGGGAGGCUGCAGUCGAGAAUCUUCCGCAAUGGGCGAAAGCCUGACGGAGCGACACCGCGUGCAGGACGAAGGCCCUCGGGUUGUAAACUGCUGUCGAGCUCUAGGAAUGCCGUACUGUUAACAGCGGUACGGUUGACCAAGGCAGAAGGAAGUGGCGGCUAACUCUGUGCCAGCAGCCGCGGUAAGACAGAGGCCACGAACGUUGUUCGGAAUCACUGGGCAUAAAGCGCACGUAGGCGGCUAGGUCCGUCCGAUGUGAAAGCCCCCGGCUCAACCGGGGAAUGGCAUCGGAUACAGCCUGGCUCGAGGACGGUUGGGGUGAGUGGAACUCCUGGUGGAGCGGUGAAAUGCGUAGAUAUCAGGAGGAACACCGGUGGCGAAAGCGGCUCACUGGACCGUUUCUGACGCUGAGGUGCGAAAGCUAGGGGAGCAAACGGGAUUAGAUACCCCGGUAGUCCUAGCCGUAAACGAUGGGCACUGGGUAGGG
RNAcentral lists this ribosomal RNA (826 nucleotides) under uncultured Pirellula sp. RNAcentral's name for it is "bacterial SSU rRNA". It matches the Rfam family "Bacterial small subunit ribosomal RNA", at positions 8 to 825 of the family's 1533-position model. The record is from RNAcentral. Lineage: Bacteria; Pseudomonadati; Planctomycetota; Planctomycetia; Pirellulales; Pirellulaceae.